GACGAACGCUGGCGGCGUGCUUAACACAUGCAAGUCGAACGGAAAGGCCCCUUUGGGGGUACUCGAGUGGCGAACGGGUGAGUAACACGUGAGUAACCUGCCCUUGACUUCGGGAUAACUUCAGGAAACUGGGGCUAAUACCGGCUAGGAAUCCUUGCUGCAUGGUGGGGGUUGGUAAGCUUCGGCGGUUUUGGAUGGACUCGCGGCUUAUCAGCUUGUUGGUGGGGUAGUGGCUUACCAAGGCUUUGACGGGUAGCCGGCCUGAGAGGGCGACCGGCCACACUGGGACUGAGAGACGGCCCAGAUGCCUACGGGAGGAAGCAGGGGGGAAGAUUGAACAAUGGGCGGAAGCCUGAUGCAGAAGCGCCGCGGGCGGGAUGACGGCCUUCGGGUUGUAAACCGCUUUCAGCAGGGGAGAAGCUUGUGGUGACGGUACCUGCAGAAGAAGCACCGGCUAACUACGUG
Molecule: ribosomal RNA, 465 nt
Filed under: uncultured bacterium
Lineage: Bacteria
Description: partial 16S ribosomal RNA
Rfam family: Bacterial small subunit ribosomal RNA
Source: RNAcentral